UACGGAGGAUCCAAGCGUUAUCCGGAUUCAUUGGGUUUAAAGGGUGCGUAGGCGGAACGAUAAGUCAGUGGUGAAAGCCUGCAGCUUAACUGCAGAACUGCCAUUGAUACUGUCGAUCUUGAGUACAUUUGACGAGGGCGGAAUGUGUCAUGUAGCGGUGAAAUGCUUAGAUAUGACAUAGAACACCAAUUGCGUAGGCAGCUUACUACACGAUCAUUGACGCUGAGGCACGAAAGCGUGGGGAGCAAACAGG
This 253-nucleotide ribosomal RNA is filed under the name uncultured bacterium. RNAcentral's name for it is "partial 16S ribosomal RNA". It matches the Rfam family "Bacterial small subunit ribosomal RNA", at positions 524 to 776 of the family's 1533-position model. The record is from RNAcentral.